Molecule: long non-coding RNA, 236 nt
Organism: Triticum aestivum (bread wheat)
Lineage: Eukaryota; Viridiplantae; Streptophyta; Magnoliopsida; Poales; Poaceae
Exons: 3
Source: RefSeq, a predicted model, not a curated record
AACCUAUCUUAGGCCCGCAGGAAGGGAACAAAUUCAUCUGUAGGGCUCCAUCAUGAAUGACAACAUGAUCAAACGAGCGGAACGCCCAGGCUUUUGCUUGAUAGGAAGUAAAGUGGUUGUGCUAGUGAAUCGCUACAUCACAUAUUUUUGCCCAGAAACAAUUAUCAAUAUGUACAAGUUUUCUGUGACUCCCGAGACAAAAUCAAAAGCUAUUAAAGGAGCAUUAGUAGAAGAAC